Non-coding RNA from Capsicum annuum, 1371 nucleotides. NCBI's taxonomy places the organism in Eukaryota, Viridiplantae, Streptophyta, Magnoliopsida, Solanales, Solanaceae. The record is from Rfam.
UACCUAGUUGAUCCUACCAGUAUUUAUAUGCUUGUCUCAAAGAUUAAGCCAUGCAUAUGUAAGUAUGAACAAAUUCAGACAAUGAACUGCGAAUGACUCAUUAAAUCAGUUAUAGUUUGUUUGAUGGUAUCUACUACUCGAAUAACCGUAGUAAUUCUAGAUCUAAUAUGUGCAACAAUCCCCGACUUCUGGAAGGGAUGUAUUUAUUAGAUAAAAGGUCAACACAAGAUCUGCACAUAGCUACGAUGACUCAUGAUAACUCGAUGGAUCACAUAGCCAUCGAGACAGUGAUUCAUCAUACAAAUUUUUUCCCUAUCAACUUUUGAUGGUACGAUAGUGGCUUACCAUGGUGGUGACGGGUGACAGAGAUUUAGGGUUCAAUUCCAGAGAGGAAGCCUGAGAAAUGACUUCCACAUCUAAGAAAAGUAGAUGGCAUGUAAAUACCUAAUCCUAACACGGGGAGGUAGUGACAAUAACAAUAAUACCAGGCUUAAUGAGUCUGGUACUUGGAAUGAGUAUAAUCUAAAUCCCUUAACGAGGAUCCAUUGGAGGGCAAGUCCGGUUCCAUCAUCCUCGGUAGUUCUAGCUUUAAUAGUGUAUAUUUAAGUUAUUGCAGUUAGAAAGCUCAUAGUUAAUCUUUGGGAUGGGCUGGCUGGUCCGCCUAUGGUGUGCACCGGUCAUCUCAUCCCUUCUGUCGGCGAUAUGCUCCUGGCCUUAACUGGUCGGGUCAAGCCUCCGGUGCUGUUACUUUGAAGAAAUUAGAGUUCUCAAAGCAAGCCUACGCUCUGUAUACAUUAGCAUGGGAUAACAUUAUCGGAUUUCGGUCCUAUUAUGUUGGCCUUCCGAAUUAGAGUAAUGAUUAACAGAGACAGUCGGGGGCAUUCGUAUUUCAUUGUCAGAGGUGAAAUUCUUUGAUUUAUGAAAGGCAAACAACUGCCAAAGCAUUUGCCAAGGAUGUUUUCAUUAAUCAAGAACGAAAGUUUGGGGCUGGAAUAGGUCUGUGAUGCCCUUAGAUGUUCUGGGCCGCACGCGCACUACACUGAUGUAUUCAAUGAGUUUAUAGCCUUGGCCGACAGGCCUGGGUAAUAUUUGAGAUUUCAUCGUGAUGGGGAUAGAUCAUUGCAAUUGUUGGUCUUCAAUAAGGAAUUCCUAGUAAGCGCAACUCAACAGCUCGCGUUGACUAAGUCCUUGCCCUUUGUACACACCGCCCGUCGCUCCUACUAAUUGAAUAAUACGGUGAAAUGUUUGAAUUAAGGUGACGUGGGUGGUUCGCUGUCCACGAGAUCACGAGAUGUAAAUUAAACCUUAUCAUUUAAAGGAAGGAGAAGUCGUAACAAGGUUUUCAGAGGUGAACCUGCAGAAGGAUCAUUA